Molecule: ribosomal RNA, 586 nt
Filed under: uncultured bacterium
Lineage: Bacteria
Description: bacterial SSU rRNA
Rfam family: Bacterial small subunit ribosomal RNA
Source: RNAcentral
UGGUAAGGUAACGGCUUACCAAGGCGACGAUCAGUAGCCGACCUGAGAGGGUGAUCGGCCACAUUGGAACUGAGACACGGUCCAAACUCCUACGGGAGGCAGCAGUGGGGAAUAUUGCACAAUGGGCGAAAGCCUGAUGCAGCAACGCCGCGUGAGCGAUGAAGGCCUUCGGGUCGUAAAGCUCUGUCCUCAAGGAAGAUAAUGACGGUACUUGAGGAGGAAGCCCCGGCUAACUACGUGCCAGCAGCCGCGGUAAUACGUAGGGGGCUAGCGUUAUCCGGAAUUACUGGGCGUAAAGGGUGCGUAGGUGGUUUCUUAAGUCAGAGGUGAAAGGCUACGGCUCAACCGUAGUAAGCCUUUGAAACUGGGAAACUUGAGUGCGGGAGAGGAGAGUGGAAUUCCUAGUGUAGCGGUGAAAUGCGUAGAUAUUAGGAGGAACACCAGUUGCGAAGGCGGCUCUCUGGACUGUAACUGACACUGAGGCACGAAAGCGUGGGGAGCAAACAGGAUUAGAUACCCUGGUAGUCCACGCCGUAAACGAUGAGUACUAGCUGUCGGAGGUUACCCCCUUCGGUGGCGCAGCUAA